RNAcentral lists this transfer RNA (73 nucleotides) under Austrofundulus limnaeus. RNAcentral describes it as "tRNA-Leu". It matches the Rfam family "tRNA". From Rfam's summary of the family: Transfer RNA (tRNA) molecules are approximately 80 nucleotides in length. Their secondary structure includes four short double-helical elements and three loops (D, anti-codon, and T loops). The record is from RNAcentral. Lineage: Eukaryota; Metazoa; Chordata; Actinopteri; Cyprinodontiformes; Rivulidae.
GCUAGUGUGGCAGAAUUGGAAAAUGCAAAAGAUCUAAGCCCUUUCAAAGGAGGUUCAAGUCCUUUCUCUAGCA